CCCACCGCCGCGGCGCUUGGCCUGGCAGCGGCCGGGCGGUGGCGCAGGAAAGCGGCAAGGCAGCACUGCACAAUUGUUCUGGUGGCACUGCUGGCUGGGAGACCGGCUGGGGCCGCCAGAGCUGGGUGCUGCUGGAGCGAGAGGUGCCAGCGGAGGGUCGCAGCUCCAGGAGGACUCUCGAAAGGAGCCAUGGAGUACUAUCUUGCUGCUGGCGCCCGAAAUAUAGAUGGAGUGCUGAGCGCAAAGGAGAAUAGGGGUGAGCUGUGCAAGAAGGCUAUUGAGAUGGUGGCCUGAAUGCCCAUGAGCGUCUCUGUCUUUCUAGCUUGAGUGCAGAAGACAGCAGGUGUAGUAAGAUGUACUGAGCUGCUGGACAUCCCGCUCGGGGUCAAAAUCCCUUUGUUGCCUGGCUCCCACCCUGUCUUCUGCCAGACCAAGCUGGGGGAAAAGGUGGUUUGCACUCUGUGGGAGUUCAACGAAUACAGGCAGUAUCUGAUGACACUCAAAACAGAGGCUGACAAAAUGUGCCAGCGAGAACAAGUGCUCACUGAAAUCUUCCUCUUGUAAAUACUCUCUGGAAACCUCUCCAAUUCUCCAAUUCCGUUCUGAAGAACUGAAAGAAAUUAUGAAGGGUGACAUGGAUUGUUAGGGCUUUUUGCAUUUUAAGGACCUCUCUGGUGUAUUUGGUGCUGAGUCCAUGAAGCUCAGAUACUGAGAAGAGGCUGAACAAACCCCUCAAGAAGUUAAAGGCAUGUGGAGGACAGAUAAGUGAACUUUUGCCCUAGACAUUUCUUGGUACAUAAGAUAUGAACCUUGCUGCACACUUUGCAAAUUCUGCAGGAAACCGUAACUACAAGCAAGCCAUCCAUUUUCAUCUGCUCCCAGCGGAAACAGGACUGAGAUGGUGUUUUUCCCAUUGUACAAGCAAGCCAUCUGUUUCUAGAGGAAACAGGACCGAGAUGCUACGACCACCUGGGACACACUGAGCCUGCACUGAACCAGACCAUGCUGCAUCACGUCCACCAUGCAUAUGCAUGAGGUUUCUUGGAAACGGGUGGAGAUUUUGGGACUUGGACUGUAUAAAAAUGGUACCACCCAAAGCUAAGUAGGGGUCCCACCUACCACAAAACGGGACGCCCCCACUGCCGAGACUCCCAAAGGAAGAGGAUCAACGGGACGCCAUUGGAUCCAUGGGUGGUGAUAUCUCUUUCUCUCUCUCCCUCUCUCUCUCUCUUUUUGAUGAAUGUUGGUGAGAUCUCUUCGAAACGUGUGGCACGGGACUUGUCUAUCUAGUUGAAGUAAUCGCUAUUGAAUUACCAUAUUUUAACCACAUGCCUUAUCUUUUGUGUUAAUAAGUCAUAAAACUGGUUGGCUGGUGUCGU
Dromaius novaehollandiae (emu) is the source of this 1379-nucleotide long non-coding RNA. RefSeq lists it as uncharacterized. Lineage: Eukaryota; Metazoa; Chordata; Aves; Casuariiformes; Dromaiidae. The transcript is spliced from 4 exons. The record is from RefSeq and is a predicted model, not a curated record.